Molecule: long non-coding RNA, 1842 nt
Organism: Ictalurus punctatus (channel catfish)
Lineage: Eukaryota; Metazoa; Chordata; Actinopteri; Siluriformes; Ictaluridae
Exons: 3
Source: RefSeq, a predicted model, not a curated record
ACUCAGAAAACGAGCUGCACCAACCGGACACUUCAUCCCGGAAAUACGGAAGCCAGUGCGGAAGAGCUGCGGUCCGUCUCCCGGUCGCCAUCGAACAUAUAGUGAACAACAGCCUAAUGGUGACGCUAGCUUACUGAGAUAAGAGCUACACGGGAUUUUGCUCCAUUGCAACAAACAGUGUAUGGCCGAGUACACACCGCUUCUCUAAACGCACUUCUUGGUUUCUUUGAACGCCAGAUUGACUGCUCUGCAUUGCUCUCUUGUUUACCCAGGAGUCAGGACUAACAAGUAUAAAAGAUGUUUACAGAAGACAGAGUACCAAAGAAAAACCUACAGAGGUGUGUCCACUACAGUUAUCAUAAACAGGUAAGUGUAAAGUUAUCAUACAGAGGUAAAGUUAUCAGCACUGAACCCCUCUGCAGUACAGAGAGAAUUGAUUUAUUUUUUGCUUUCAGUGUAGUAGGGCAGUGGAUUUCAAAGUGGGGGCCGCGACAGUUUGGUGUGAAAAAUAAAUUCUCACUCUGACAACCACACACACACACAAUCAAUUCCUAAUGUAAUGUGAAGAUGAAAGAGGUCAUUAUUAAUAAUAGGGGGGGUUAUUUUCACAAGUCUGUAUUUUUAAUGUGUUUUAAAGACAUCCUGCAAAAGGGGGGCCUCGGUCAAAUUUUAAUGCCAUUUGAGGGGCCUUGCCAUGGAAAAGUUUGCGAACCACUGUAGUAGAGUAGACCUCGGUUGGGCCCAGCCCAAAGGGAAAAUGCACUGAAGUGCCGUGGAUGCGUCGUUCAUACAUGCAGCAAUUUUACAUCCAAUAAGUCGCCCGUCCCUGUACUAUGAAGUCGCAUCUACAAUCAAACGAAGCUAACCAUUAGCGUUCUCAUUCCACGUCAGAUUCUGCUCAAAUUAAAGUCCAGAUAUAAUUGGACAAUGUGCUCGAGUAUUGUUAAACCCCACCUACAAGCACAGAGUCCAAAGACUGCAGUGCUGUUUACGUCCACUAGAUGUCCUCGGUGUAUAAGUUAAGUAAGGUUAAACAUUACUGUUGGUUUGAAUUAGUUCAGUCUACAAAAGAAGCUUGUAAAAUGGCAUGUUGAUAUACUGUAACAAUAGUGUAUCAGUAGCAUAUUACACAUUUGUAUUUUGUAUUGAUGUAAAACAUAAAAUAAAAAAUAUAAGUAUAGUUUAGAUUAAUGCAAGGAUGCUAUUUCGCAGGCAGGCUUUUGAAUGGGCUUCAUCUGAACUUUUACAUGGAACCAAUGUGAUUCACGUUGACUGUUCAUCUACUCGAUCUAUUCAAUCCUAUAGCCUGCGAAUUCUGGAUAAUGGGACGGGUACAGUAGUACUAGAUUUUGUAUUAGAUGUAGUACAUCAGUAGAGUAUAUGUAUAGUAUAUGUAUGUAUGUGUAUAUAUAUAAUGUAUGUGUGAUGUAUGUAUAUGCAUCAGCAGGUCAGCUAGACUGAACCACACAAGUGUGUUCUGCUUAUCCAUCCAUCUUCUAUACCGCUUAUCCUUCAGGGUCGUGGGGAACCUGGAGUCUAUUCCAGGUAGCAUGGGGCACAAGGUACACCCUGGUCGGGGUGCCAAUCACAUACAAAUUCACACACCCAUUCAUACACUACGGACACUUUGGACAUGCCAAUCAGCCAACCAUGCAUGUCUUUGGACUGGGAGAGGAAGCCGGAGGAAACCCCUGCAGGGGAGAUCAUGCAAAAAAAAAAAAAAAAACACACACACAGGGCAGCAGUUGGAAUCGAAACCCCCAACCUGGGCGGUGUAAGGCAAUCGUAUUAACCACUAAGCCGCCAUGCACUUUCUACUUUUCUAAUUGUGUCUAAACACCC